UCUCGAGCGCUGCACCGCCGCGAGCGGGUCAGCACCCACAACCUAUCGGUUGCCGAAGAGCAGCACGCGGGCCCUGGCCGGCCCGGUAGUUUUGACGGUCGGGCCUGUAGCUCAGUUGGUUAGAGCACCGUCUUGAUAAGGCGGGGGUCGAUGGUUCGAAUCCAUCCAGACCCACCACGUCGCGCCAGGGCGCGGCUUUGGGGCUGUAGCUCAGUUGGGAGAGCACCUGCUUUGCAAGCAGGGGGUCGUCGGUUCGAUCCCGUCCAGCUCCACCAAUUGCGGGCGUGCAGAGGGUAGAAGGCAGCAUCCCGGGAACCGCCGGGGGUUUGCCUUCUGACCUUUGAGUCAGGUCGGUUGCUCUUUAACAAUUAGGGAAGAAGUAAAGCGAAAGUUCGCGCUCUGGCGAGGGCUCUGGCGAAGGCUGGGGUCGGUGCUGGAGGCGAGCUUUGGGUUUGAUUGUAUCGACCCGGGUCUGCGGUCAGUCGGCCGUGGCCUGGGUAGCGCAAACACUUGCAGACGGUCCGCGCGCGAGCGUGGAGCGUUAUGGAGUCAAGCGACUAAGUGCAUGUGGUGGAUGCCUUGGCGAUCACAGGCGAUGAAGGACGUGGCAGCCUGCGAAAAGCUGCGGGGAGCUGGCAAACGAGCAUUGAUCCGCAGAUAU
This 661-nucleotide unclassified non-coding RNA is filed under the name uncultured Pseudomonadota bacterium. Its description in RNAcentral is "uncultured proteobacterium partial contains 16S ribosomal RNA, 16S-23S ribosomal RNA intergenic spacer, and 23S ribosomal RNA". The stretch from base 548 to 661 matches the Rfam family "Bacterial large subunit ribosomal RNA", at positions 1 to 113 of the family's 2925-position model. The record is from RNAcentral. Lineage: Bacteria; Pseudomonadati; Pseudomonadota.